This 210-nucleotide long non-coding RNA is filed under the name Elaeis guineensis (African oil palm). Its description in RNAcentral is "long non-coding RNA (EGUI_LNC003836)". Lineage: Eukaryota; Viridiplantae; Streptophyta; Magnoliopsida; Arecales; Arecaceae. The record is from RNAcentral.
UGGUGGAAGAGAGGUUUGAGAGGGGUUAUGGCUAGAGGAAGAAUGAGAAUAGAAUGAUAGAGCUUUGGGAUGCCUUCGAUAAAAAAACCAUCCCCGACAUAGGUGUCAACUUCUGUUAAACACGAAUCAACUCCUGAAGAGGGAUGGACUCUAGUAAAACUGAAAGUUGGCUCCUCACAUAACUAUUUUUUUGUCAAAAAUCAUGAGUGG